Molecule: long non-coding RNA, 247 nt
Organism: Drosophila rhopaloa
Lineage: Eukaryota; Metazoa; Arthropoda; Insecta; Diptera; Drosophilidae
Exons: 2
Source: RefSeq, a predicted model, not a curated record
CAAAAAUUGACAAUCCCACACUAUGUGCUUUGAAUCAGCCGAGAUUUUUGAUGGCAACCACACAAAAAUGUAUCAAAAGUAUGGAGUUCGGGAAUUUACCAACUAGUUUUAGCGUUACACUGAGCCAUCCAAAGCCUCUCGGGGAAAGUCUAAUCAAAACCUGCAUUCCGCUCCUGACAUCCUGAUGAUGUUAUGCCACCCAAAAAGUAAAAAGAAAAGCAGAGAACCCGUCUUGGGUCAAACUGUC